Molecule: ribosomal RNA, 327 nt
Filed under: uncultured eukaryote
Lineage: Eukaryota
Description: partial 18S ribosomal RNA
Rfam family: Eukaryotic small subunit ribosomal RNA
Source: RNAcentral
CCCUUAGAUGUUCUGGGCCGCACGCGCGCUACACUGAUUCAUGCAACAAGUUUUGUCCUUGGCUGAUAGGCCUGGGUAAUCUUUGAACGUGAAUCGUGAUGGGGAUAGAUUAUUGCAAUUAUUCAUCUUCAACGAGGAAUUCCUAGUAAACGCAAGUCAUCAGCUUGCAUUGAUUACGUCCCUGCCCUUUGUACACACCGCCCGUCGCACCUACCGAUUGAAUGGUCCGGUGAAAUCUUCGGAUCUGAGAGAUGUCUGAUUAAUUUCGGACGCCUUUUGGAAAAGUUGCUUAAACCUUACCAUUUAGAGGAAGGUGAAGUCGUAACA